This 1812-nucleotide ribosomal RNA is filed under the name Penardia sp. NVam1. RNAcentral's name for it is "SSU rRNA". It matches the Rfam family "Eukaryotic small subunit ribosomal RNA". The record is from RNAcentral. Lineage: Eukaryota; Endomyxa; Vampyrellida; Sericomyxidae.
GCCAGUWGUSAUAUGCUUGUCUHAAAAAUUAAGCCAUGCAAGUCUCAGUAUAAAUGACUUUAUACAAUGAAACUGCAGAAGGCUCAUUAAAUCAGUUGUCGUGUUCGCGAUGGACAAAAUUACUAUAUGGAUAACUGUAGUAAUUCUAGAGCUAAUACAUGCCAUAAAGCUGUACACACUAAGUGCGUACAGCGGCCUUAUUAGUCUUACAAGCCAACCCGACUUGUCGGUGCUUUGGUGAUUCAUUAUAAUGAAUGCCCAACCACACAGCUUCGGCUGGUGGUACAUCGCAACAACUUCUGCCCUAUCAGCUUUGGAUGGUAGUGUAGUGGACUACCAUGGCUUUCACGGGUGACGGGGAAUUAGGGUUUGAUUCCGGAGAGGGAGCCUGAGAAACGGCUACCACUUCUAUGGAAGGCAGCAGGCGUGCAAAUUACCCAAUCCCAAAAUGGGGAGGUAGUGACAAGAAAUAACAGUGGUGGAUCCUUACGGGUUCGCCAAUUGGAAUGUGUUUGGUGUAAAAGACCUUUCGAGGAACAAUUGGAGGGCAAGUCUGGUGCCAGCAGCCGCGGUAAUACCAGCUCCAAUAGUGUAUACUAAUGUUGCUGCAGUUAAAAAGCUCGUAGUCGAUUUUGUGAAUUGUGAAACGCAGCCUGAUUUCUAAUCGAGAUCUGAUGUUGUAAGUUCGUAGUUCAUUUUUCUGGAAAGCGUUUCUGCCCUUGAUUGGGUUGGUUUCGUUAUUCAGGACUUUUACUGUGAGAAAAUGGGAGUGUUCAAAGCAGGCAAUUUGUCAUGCCUGAACCGUUUAGCAUGGAAUAAUGCAAUAUAACUUCUGUUACGCUUUGUUGGCUUAUGUGACGGAAGUAAUGAUCGAAAGAGAUAGUUGGGGGUGCUCAUACUCGAUGGGUAGCAGUGAAAUGCGUUGAUCCUUUGAAGAUGAACUAAUGCGAAAGCAUUCACCAAGGAUAUUUUCUUUGAUCAAGAACGAAAGUUGGGGGAUCGAAGACGAUCAGAUACCGUCGUAGUCUCAACCAUAAACGAUACCAACUAGGGAUUGGUAGAUGUUGGUUUUUCAUGACUCUAUCAGCACCUUUGAGAAAUUAAAGUCUUUGGGUUCUGGGGGGAGUAUGGUCGCAAGUCUGAAACUUAAAGGAAUUGACGGAAGGGCACCACCAGGAGUGGAGCCUGCGGCUUAAUUUGACUCAACACGGGGAAACUUACCAGGUCCAGACAUAGUAAGGAUUGACAGAUUGAAGCUCUUUCUUGAUUCUAUGGUUAGUGGUGCAUGGCCGUUCUUAGUUGGUGGACUGAUUUGUCUGGUUAAUUCCGAUAACGAGCGAGACCUCUGCGUGCUAAUUAGCUACGGGAAUCUUCGGAUUUCUUUAGUAGCUUCUUAGAGGGACUGUCGGUGUGUAGCCGAAGGAAGUUUGAGGCAAUAACAGGUCUGUGAUGCCCUUAGAUGUUCUGGGCCGCACGCGUGCUACAAUGGUGCAUUCAAUGAGAAAUUUUUCCUUAGCUGAAAAGCUUGGGUAAUCUUUGGAAACUGCAUCAUGCUUGGGCUUGAUCAUUGAAAUUAUUGAUCACUAACAAGGAAUUCCUUGUAGAUGCAAGUCAUCAACUUGCUUUGAAUACGUCCCUGCCCUUUGUACACACCGCCCGUCGCUUCUACCGAUGAAUGUUCCGGUGAACAUUAUGGAUUUGUUCUCGAUGGUGAAAUACCCAUCUGAGUAAUGAAGAAGUUCUGUAAACCUUAUCAUUUAGAGGAAGAAGAAGUCGUAACAAGGUUUUCGUAGGUGAACCUGCRGAHGGAUC